Molecule: ribosomal RNA, 505 nt
Filed under: uncultured bacterium
Lineage: Bacteria
Description: partial 16S ribosomal RNA
Rfam family: Bacterial small subunit ribosomal RNA
Source: RNAcentral
GUGAACGCUGGCGGUAGGCCUAACACAUGCAAGUCGAACGGCAGCACAGAGGAGCUUGCUCCUUGGGUGGCGAGUGGCGGACGGGUGAGGAAUACAUCGGAAUCUACUCUUUCGUGGGGGAUAACGUAGGGAAACUUACGCUAAUACCGCAUACGACCUUCGGGUGAAAGCAGGGGAUCGCAAGACCUUGCGCGAUUAAAUGAGCCGAUGUCGGAUUAGCUAGUUGGCGGGGUAACGGCCCACCAAGGCGACGAUCCGUAGCUGGUCUGAGAGGAUGAUCAGCCACACUGGAACUGAGACACGGUCCAGACUCCUACGGGAGGCAGCAGUGGGGAAUAUUGGACAAUGGGCGCAAGCCUGAUCCAGCCAUACCGCGUGGGUGAAGAAGGCCUUCGGGUUGUAAAGCCCUUUUGUUGGGAAAGAAAAGCACACGGUUAAUACCCGAGUGUUCUGACGGUACCCAAAGAAUAAGCACCGGCUAACUUCGUGCCAGCCGCCGCGGUAA